CAGACGUGGAACCGAAGCACGGCGCCCAGCAGCCCAGGCAGUCUUCAGUCAGUGCCCAUGUUAACCUAUCUGACUGUCCACACAGGCCGCUGAGCAGAGCGGAGCGUCCAAGGAGUAGAGGCAGCGCUUCAGUUCGGUGUCUGGUCUAUUUUUCACGGGAGCAGCAAGUGCUUCUGUCAAGCUGGAUGUAGUGGAUUCUACCAAACAGGAAGUCGGACACAGAAUAGAGGAGAGAAUCCGGCCAGUUUUCAAAAUAAAAUAACAGCACGCACUGUGGAACGCUCAUGACGAAUGGAGUUAUGUCAAAUUACAACAUGCAUGGAGGAGGACAACGGGAUAAACUUCCCUUUAAGGCCACAAAGCUGUGUCAUGUGAUCAAGUCUGCUGUGAAGAGAUGGAACAUGAAAGCCACAGACGCAGACACUGAAUCAGCUAUGCAAUCCCACCUGAAACAUGCCCCAGCACAAACUGGGGGCAAGGGACAGACCCCCUCAGGACCUCGCAGUGGUUAUCCAGGACCUUUGAUAUUGUUAUCCAGGACCUUGAAAUUGUUCUCAAGGAACUGUAAUUGUUC
This is a long non-coding RNA of Epinephelus fuscoguttatus (brown-marbled grouper), 574 nucleotides long. RefSeq lists it as uncharacterized. The record is from RefSeq and is a predicted model, not a curated record. Lineage: Eukaryota; Metazoa; Chordata; Actinopteri; Perciformes; Serranidae. The transcript is spliced from 3 exons.